AUUGAACGCUGGCGGCAGGCCUAACACAUGCAAGUCGAGCGGAUGAAGGGAGCUUGCUCCUGGAUUCAGCGGCGGACGGGUGAGUAAUGCCUAGGAAUCUGCCUGGUAGUGGGGGAUAACGUCCGGAAACGGGCGCUAAUACCGCAUACGUCCUGAGGGAGAAAGGGGGGGAUCUUCGGACCUCACGCUAUCAGAUGAGCCUAGGUCGGAUUAGCUAGUUGGUGGGGUAAAGGCCUACCAAGGCGACGAUCCGUAACUGGUCUGAGAGGAUGAUCAGUCACACUGGAACUGAGACACGGUCCAGACUCCUACGGGAGGCAGCAGUGGGGAAUAUUGGACAAUGGGCGAAAGCCUGAUCCAGCCAUGCCGCGUGUGUGAAGAAGGUCUUCGGAUUGUAAAGCCCUUUAAGUUGGGAGGAAGGGCAGUAAGUUAAUACCUUGCUGUUUUGACGUUACCAACAGAAUAAGCACCGGCUAACUUCGUG
This 484-nucleotide ribosomal RNA is filed under the name uncultured bacterium. RNAcentral's name for it is "partial 16S ribosomal RNA". It matches the Rfam family "Bacterial small subunit ribosomal RNA", at positions 30 to 507 of the family's 1533-position model. The record is from RNAcentral.